This 468-nucleotide ribosomal RNA is filed under the name uncultured bacterium. RNAcentral's name for it is "partial 16S ribosomal RNA". It matches the Rfam family "Bacterial small subunit ribosomal RNA", at positions 28 to 507 of the family's 1533-position model. The record is from RNAcentral.
GACGAACGCUGGCGGCGUGCUUAACACAUGCAAGUCGAACGGAAAGGCCCUGCUUUUGUGGGGUGCUCGAGUGGCGAACGGGUGAGUAACACGUGAGUAACCUGCCCUUGACUUUGGGAUAACUUCAGGAAAUUGGGGCUAAUACCGGAUAGGAGCUCCUGCUGCAUGGUGGGGGUUGGAAAGUUUCGGCGGUUGGGGAUGGACUCGCGGCUUAUCAGCUUGUUGGUGGGGUAGUGGCCUACCAAGGCUUUGACGGGUAGCCGGCCUGAGAGGGUGACCGGCCACAUUGGGACUGAGAUACGGCCCAGACUCCUACGGGAGGCAGCAGUGAGGAAUAUUGCACAAUGGGCGGAAGCCUGAUGCAGCAACGCCGCGUGCGGGAUGACGGCCUUCGGGUUGUAAACCGCUUUCGCCUGUGACGAAGCGUGAGUGACGGUAAUGGGUAAAGAAGCACCGGCUAACUACGUG